RNAcentral lists this ribosomal RNA (301 nucleotides) under uncultured bacterium. RNAcentral describes it as "partial 16S ribosomal RNA". It matches the Rfam family "Bacterial small subunit ribosomal RNA", at positions 509 to 807 of the family's 1533-position model. The record is from RNAcentral.
CAGUAGCCGCGGUAAUACGAGGGGGGCAAGCGUUGUUCGGAAUUAUUGGGCGUAAAGGGUGCGUAGGCGGUUUCGCAAGUCUUGUGUGAAAUCUAUGGGCUCAACCCAUAGUCUGCACAGGAAACUGCGAGGCUUGAGGAUGGGAGAGGUGAGUGGAAUUUCCGGUGUAGCAGUGAAAUGCGUAGAUAUCGGAAGGAACACCUGUGGCGAAAGCGGCUCACUGGACCAUUUCUGACGCUGAUGCACGAAAGCUAGGGGAGCAAACAGGAUUAGAUACCCCGGUAGUCCCUGUCUCUUAUAC